CCGGAUGCCCUUCCCUCCGGCCCCUCAAACGCAGCGUAAUCUGUGGAUCAGGGGAGGCAGACGCACCCAGGCGGCGUGGACUUGGGCUCUGAUGGAAGUGAUGAGGAUGAAAAAUAGAAGAAAUAGCAUCAGUCCCCACCACCUCGACUGGAAGGCGAAUCCCGAUGCGUACAUAUCAAAAGAUGAAGGGAAAACGCUAUGCUGCUGCAGCACUUUUUUACCCCCGAAGAAGAAAGACUUCAAUUUCUGGUGAUUACAAGAUGGUAAUCUGCAAUAAAGCAGACUCUCAAAGCUCAUAUCCGAGCUUAAACACACCUCGUUAUACUCUAUAUAACAUGAUCAGAACUGUCAGUGCCCCAAGGACAGAACACUCUCUGCCACUGUCUUGUGUCAUUAUAUCCCCCCUGUUGUGCAACCUGACCUCUUUGGUCUUGCCCGAGUCUCUAUCCUCCUCCUCUUCUUCCUCCUCUUCCUCCUCUGCGCCCUGCCUUCUCUGUCACAUCGGCUCAGGGUCAGGGCCGCCGCCCCGCCUGCCUCGGUGAACAUUCAACGCUGUCGGUGAGUUUGGUUUGAGUAGCACAUAAACCAUCGACCGUUGACUGUGCCCCGUGGCUCGCUCUGGCGAUGUCAAAUCUGAGCAAAAACGAAAGAAAUGGGGGGAAAAAGACCAAAAAACGAACAAAAGGGCAAGUGGGCGCCACAUGCAAAUGCAGAGAUGGAAACCACAUGCGCACAUGCUCAUAAGUGCCACUUUGUGUUCGCUGUACCCAAAGACCAAAGGUCACAAUCAACAUUCAUUGCUGUCGCUGGGUUGGACUCUGUAAGAAAGCUCACUGAACAAUGAGUGCAACUGUGGCCCAGAUCUGCCUGACUCGCGUCUCAGCUAAUCAGACGACCGGAUGUGAAGCACUCUGAUUUCUUUAUUUAUGUACUUCUUGUUUUUCACUUCUAUUUUUUCCCCUCUCUUCCUCCCUCUCCGGUGCCGGGAGUUUUCAGAGGAGGAAGGCAGAGAGAUAGGCGGCACAAAUAGACUUCUGGCUGCCUGCUUGUCCUCAGCCUCCUCUUCUCUCCUCUAAUUGAUGGUUAAGUGUGCAGCAUGGGGGAAGGAAGCCGAGUGAAUGUGUAAUCAUUUGGAGUCUCUUCUCCUUUAGAUGUUUCAUCCCUCUCUUUUUUGUUUGUCUAAUUAUACGCUGAGCUCAGUUAACUGUGUGUCUGCGCUGGCAGGGAAGGCAAAUUUGCGAAAAAGGAGGACAAUUGAGGGGAAAAAGAAGAUUACAGCCUUAGAAACAAAUAGAUCUAGUUUUGAGUUUAUUUUUCAUAAUAAUUCUCCUGGUGCUCAUGCGAAUAUGUUUGAAUAAAAGCAAUUUUGCAAUGUAAGAAGAAGAGUAUUUCCACCUUUUUGAUAAAAGAUGCCUCGUUAUCUGUAUUUAAACGUCUUGGAGUCCUACCUACCAGUCCCUGAGUGCAAGUGUGCUUGUGCUGCUCUCUACGAUAGAGGACGCGUCUGCUCAUCUCAGGGUGUAAUAUGUUAUUUUACUUCAACACUGACGCUAACGCUCUCGUGGGGAAACAUAAAGUCAAUAACCCUGUCUUUCUUCACAGUCUGUGACCCACCUUAUUGCUGCCGUCUGUGAUAUCUCUCACUGUCCUGUUAUACAUGCAAGGUGAAUACACACGCAGCUGAAACCAAAUGUACACACACUCUGUUUGACUGAAAAACAACAACAAAAAGAAUUACAAAAUUUAGUUCUUUUUUUUUAAGUUUGAUGGAUUUCUGGCCCAUUUCUCCUGACAGAACUGGUGUAACUGAGUCAGGUUUAGAGGCUGUCCUGUUCACACACUUUUUCUACUCUGCCCUCAAAAACAUUAUGACUGUGAGGUCAGAGCAUUAUGAUGGCCACAACAAAUUAAACUGCUUUGUAACCAAUUUAGAGGUAUAUUGCCCAUUUUGAAGAUCAAUUUCGGUCCAAAAUAUGCCUGGCUAAUAUAUUUGAGAUGUCUUUUUCAAUAUUUCCACAUGAAGUUGUUGCCUCAUAACACUAUCAAAUUUAGGAAGUGACCAGUUCCUCCUGUAGCAAACUUCCUCCCACAAGCUUUUCCUUUUUUUAUUGAAGUGCAAUUUAGUUUCAUAAGACCACCAGACAUGUCUCCAAAAAAUAGAAGUGUUGGCGUCUGAGUGAUUUUGCAAAUUACAAUCUGGCUUUUUAUGUUGUUCCUGGAAUAAUGGCUUCCUCUCUGAGUGGACUUGUUUUACGUUGGAUGAAGACAACCUCUUACAAGCUUCACCCUGUAUAUUUACAAUGUUUUCUACGUUUGUUUUUGGGGUUCUCGGCUAACUUCCUUUGAUCAUUCCUUGAUGUCAAAAAAGGAAGCAUUAUGCUUGAGGUGUUGCUUUAUAAUACACUCAGGUAUACGUCAGGUAAACUCAAAUUGUUUAAAGUUAUAUUAACUUUAUAAAGUUAUAAUUACUCCUGACAAAAAAAAAAAAAAACUCCUUAAAAAAUUUAAAGUAUUCUGGAAAUGUAUCAAAAGGAAAUCAUUUAGAUAAUUUUAACUGACCAGGAAGAGGUUGUUUUUUUUUCUUCUGAAGACUGCAGGAGAAAAAAAAAAGGCUAAACGUCUGUUUAUUCAGAGUAUGUACAUAUCUGGUUUUCAGCUGCGUUUGUGUCAUUUUAUUCUCUCAACAACGUUUCUUAAGUGAUUUCCUGACUAAGCCAAUAAAGUUCAAUCCAGACCAAUUUA
This is a long non-coding RNA of Xiphophorus couchianus (Monterrey platyfish), 2742 nucleotides long. RefSeq lists it as uncharacterized. The transcript is spliced from 2 exons. Lineage: Eukaryota; Metazoa; Chordata; Actinopteri; Cyprinodontiformes; Poeciliidae. The record is from RefSeq and is a predicted model, not a curated record.